UACGUAGGCAGCGAGCGUUGUUCGGAGUUACUGGGCGUAAAGGGCGCGUAGGCGGCACCGCAAGUCGACUGUGAAAUCUCCGGGCUUAACUCGGAAAGGUCAGCCGAUACUGCGGGGCUAGAGUGCAGAAGGGGCAACUGGAAUUCUCGGUGUAGCGGUGAAAUGCGUAGAUAUCGAGAGGAACACCUGCGGCGAAGGCGGGUUGCUGGGCUGACACUGACGCUGAUGCGCGAAAGCUAGGGGAGCGAACGGG
RNAcentral lists this ribosomal RNA (253 nucleotides) under uncultured bacterium. RNAcentral's name for it is "partial 16S ribosomal RNA". It matches the Rfam family "Bacterial small subunit ribosomal RNA", at positions 524 to 776 of the family's 1533-position model. The record is from RNAcentral.